RNAcentral lists this ribosomal RNA (553 nucleotides) under uncultured archaeon. RNAcentral describes it as "bacterial SSU rRNA". It matches the Rfam family "Archaeal small subunit ribosomal RNA", at positions 325 to 878 of the family's 1478-position model. The record is from RNAcentral.
UCGGGGUGCACCAGGCGCGAAAACUUUACAAUGCUGGCAACAGCGAUAAGGGGACCUCGAGUGCCAGGAUACAAUCUUGGCUGUCGCGAUGCCUAAAAAGCAUUGCAUAGCAAGGGCCGGGCAAGACCGGUGCCAGCCGCCGCGGUAACACCGGCGGCUCGAGUGGUAACCGCUAUUAUUGGGUCUAAAGGGUCUGUAGCCGGCCGGAUAAGUCUUUUGGGAAAUCCAGCUGCUCAACAGUUGGGCUUUCAGAAGAUACUGUUCGGCUCGAGACCGGGAGAGGUGAGAGGUACUUCAGGGGUAGGGGUGAAAUCUUGUAAUCCUUGAAGGACCACCAGUGGCGAAGGCGUCUCACCAGAACGGAUCUGACGGCAAGGGACGAAAGCUAGGGGCACGAACCGGAUUAGAUACCCGGGUAGUCCUAGCCGUAAACGAUACUCGCUAGGUGUCAGCCACGGUGCGACCGUGGUUGGUGCCGUAGGGAAGCCGUGAAGCGAGCCACCUGGGAAGUACGGCCGCAAGGCUGAAACUUAAAGGAAUUGGCGGGGGAGCA